RNA transcript from Lathyrus oleraceus (garden pea), 3089 nucleotides. It is a transcript of the gene named pentatricopeptide repeat-containing protein At4g02820, mitochondrial, with no coding region annotated. Lineage: Eukaryota; Viridiplantae; Streptophyta; Magnoliopsida; Fabales; Fabaceae. The transcript has 3 exons. The record is from RefSeq and is a predicted model, not a curated record.
UUUCAAAAGGUCAGGUCAAAGGGCGAACGAAUGAUUAAGCCCUGUUUACUUGAGACUUUAGUAAAACCCAAAUGUCGCUUCGUUCCAUCGGAAGAUAUCUCGCAGUCGCUCGCCACUUCUCUUCAGAAGCGGCACGAAGAAACACCUCCACCGCCAGCUCCAGCGGCGGCGGUGGCGGUGGCGGAGACACGCUAGGACGUAGGCUUCUCAGCCUUGUGUAUCCAAAACGAAGCGCAGUCAUCGCAAUCAACAAAUGGAAGGAAGAAGGCCACACACUCCCUUCCAAGUACCAGCUCAAUCGCAUGAUUCGCGAACUCCGCAAGAACAAGCGCUACAAACACGCGCUCGAGGUAUGUGAAUGGAUGACAUUGCAAAAGGAUAUCAAGCUAGUGGAAGGAGACUAUGCUGUUCACUUGGACUUGAUAACCAAAGUUCGCGGUUUAAACGGUGCAGAAAAAUUCUUUGAGGAUCUUCCUGAUAAGAUGAGAGGCCAACCAACCUGCACCGCUCUUCUCCAUGCCUAUGUCCAAAAUAAUUUGGUUGAUAAAGCUGAGGCGCUUGUGUCAAAAAUGUCGGAAUGUGGUUUCAUGCGAAGUCCUUUGCCUUAUAAUCACAUGAUGUCUCUCUACAUCUCGAAAGGGAAGAUAGAUAAGGUUCCUAAACUUUUUGAGGAACUAAAGGUUAAUACUUCUCCUGAUGUUGUUACCUUCAAUUUAUUGUUAACUGCAUGUGCUUCGGAAAACGACGUCGAAACUGCAGAAAGGGUACUGCUUCAGUUAAAGAAGGCAAAAGUAGACCCGGACUGGGUAACGUAUAGUACUUUGACCAAUUUGUACAUAAGAAAUGCUAGCAUAAAGGAUGAUUGCCUAGAGAAGGCAGCAUCUACUUUGAAAGAGAUGGAGAAGAGAACCUGGCGGAAAACUCGAGCUGCAUAUUCCUCUCUCCUGAGUUUGCAUGCAAACAUGGGGAAUGUGGAUGAAGUUAAUCGGAUAUGGAAGAAAAUGAAGGAUUGCUUUCGCAAAAUGAGUGACGAAGAGUACAUUUGCAUGAUAUCAUCACUUGUGAAACUUGGAGACUUCGCCGGAGUUGAGAAUCUCUAUAGAGAGUGGGAAUCUGUUUCUGGUACCAAUGAUGUCAGAGUUUCAAACUUACUUCUUACUUCAUAUGUUGACCAAGGCCAGAUGGAAAUGGCUGAAAUUUUUUGUAAUCAGUUAGUGGAAAAGGGUGUCUGUCUUACUUACACGACGUGGGAGCUACUUACGAGGGGGUAUUUGAAAAAGAGCGAUGUAAAAAACUUUCUGUAUUAUUUUCGGAAAGCUAUAUCUAGUGUGAAAACUUGGAUUCCUGAUCCCUUGUUAGUACAAGAAGCAUUCACAGUCAUGCGGGAGCAGGUUCAUAUUGAAGGAGCAGAACAAUUGUUGGUUAUCCUUCGAGAUGCUGGACAUGUGAAUACUAAUAUAUAUAACCUAUUUCUGAAAACUUAUGCUGCAGCUGGUAAAAUGCCUCUCAUUGUUGCUGAGAGGAUGAAAAAGGACAACGUUCAGUUGGAUGAAGAGACACAUAGGCUCUUGGAUCUAACCAGUAAAAUGUGUGUGAGCGAUGUUUCUGGGAUUCUGUCCUAAGCUCACAUUGAAGGAUUUUAAGGUAAUGUGGGAGGAUCAUGUGUUUGGCUGCUAUUUUUAUGUGAUAUCCAUCCCAUUUCUGAAUAUAAGAAUUGGACUGUUAGUAUUUGUGAACGUAAUACAAAUUUUCGAUAAUAAGAAUGUUGAAAUCAAGUACCAAACCUUGACUUUAAUGACAGAACCAGUUCAACUCCAUGGUUUUUUUUAAUACUUCAAUCUAUUCAGGAUUACACAUAGCCAGCUUGUCAUGAUUUUGUCUCUUCCAAUUUGUCACAAAUUCACACUUUUCCUGUCCUGGCGUGACUUACUUAUGGACAAGCCACUGCUAGUUUUAUUACCAAUCAGCAAGCUUCAGAAAUUUAUGAGAACCGAUUAAAUUUCUAGUUCACUGUUCUCAAACAUGCAAUGGAGGAAAUGCAUUUCCCAAUCCAUUUUCAGCAUAUGAUUUUCCAGUUUAUUUUCUUUUGUAACUACAGGUUUUUGUUAGAGAAUCAGAGUAGUGUUGUAAUUUGAAUUACCGCCCAACCCUUUAAGAUGGGAGUUUUGUUGACCUAAAUCUUGAGUCUGGAUGUGUGGUGCUAUCUACAAUGAGGGAGGAUAAAAGUCCCUCACCUGUAAGUUGCAACAUACAUUCCAAGUUUUUUUUUUCCGAAUACUUCUGAUGAAUGACUUGCAAAGAAGUUCAUUUCAGUCUAACAUCAAAGGAGUGUGGAAGGUAUACAUUCACAAACAAUAACCCUAGCCAUCGCGCGAUACACGGAACAAUGAUAGAUCCGUUGUAAAUUGGUUUGCCUAACUGAGUGGUAAGCAGUCCUGCCAAAGCCACAAAUUUCAUCAGCUAAUGUUGAAGAAUCAUCAUUAUUAUUUCUGCAGUUAGGUUGGAUUCACCUGUUGACAAAUCAUUGAUGAGAAGAAUCGAAUAAUUCAAUUUGUGGUGCUGUUCACUAUAAUCACAAUGGUUAUCUCAUCUGUUCUGGUAGCCAUGAUGACGAUUGAUGACAAUUGUAAGAUAUGGGAUGCGAUUGUUGGUACUCUUUUGUUGGUUGUUGCAACUGUGAACCUUCGUGACACCACCUUGGAUUCUUGUGAUUUCUAGUUGAUAACUUGACAGGAGCAGGCCUAAUUGAUCAGACGAGCGACUGUUUUUACAAAAUGAGAACUCAAGCCCUUUCAGAAAUGGUGUGGUGGAAUUGUUGUUCUCUCAAAUACGAACUUCCACUCAAGCCCUUUCAGAAAUGGUGUGGUGGAAUUGUUCUCUCAAAUACGAACUUCCAUCUCUUAACGUAGUGCUUUAUUAAUUUUGCUAUUGCAAAAACAAGACAGACAUAUAAAUUAGACAGUGUAUUUCACUUUCUGAUGUUGUGCAGAAUGACCUCAACAAAAGGCUUCUUUGGCAGCGUUUGUUGCCACCAUGUACUAUGCUUCGGCAUGACAACUAUGGAUUGAAUCAAUAGUUUCUAACAGAUA